CGACGACGGGUAGCCGGCCUGAGAGGGCGACCGGCCACACUGGGACUGAGACACGGCCCAGACUCCUACGGGAGGCAGCAGUGGGGAAUAUUGCACAAUGGGCGGAAGCCUGAUGCAGCGACGCCGCGUGAGGGAUGACGGCCUUCGGGUUGUAAACCUCUUUCAGCAGGGACGAAGCGCAAGUGACGGUACCUGCAGAAGAAGCGCCGGCCAACUACGUGCCAGCAGCCGCGGUAAGACGUAGGGCGCGAGCGUUGUCCGGAUUUAUUGGGCGUAAAGAGCUCGUAGGCGGCUUGUCGCGUCGACUGUGAAAACCCGUGGCUCAACUGCGGGCCUGCAGUCGAUACGGGCAGGCUAGAGUUCGGUAGGGGAGACUGGAAUUCCUGGUGUAGCGGUGAAAUGCGCAGAUAUCAGGAGGAACACCGGUGGCGAAGGCGGGUCUCUGGGCCGAUACUGACGCUGAGGAGCGAAAGCGUGGGGAGCGAACAGGAUUAGAUACCCUGGUAGUCCACGCUGUAAACGUUGGGCGCUAGGUGUGGGGGGCCUCUCCGGUUCUCUGUGCCGCAGCUAACGCAUUAAGCGCCCCGCCUGGGGGAGUACGGA
Molecule: ribosomal RNA, 603 nt
Filed under: Micromonospora sp. WYP-9
Lineage: Bacteria; Bacillati; Actinomycetota; Actinomycetes; Micromonosporales; Micromonosporaceae
Description: bacterial SSU rRNA
Rfam family: Bacterial small subunit ribosomal RNA
Source: RNAcentral